GUUGUGAGGCAGUGUGAUUAGCUUGCCGUUUGAUUAUGACGUCACGGCAGCUACUCGCCCUGCCCCACAAA
Non-coding RNA from Branchiostoma belcheri (Belcher's lancelet), 71 nucleotides. Lineage: Eukaryota; Metazoa; Chordata; Leptocardii; Amphioxiformes; Branchiostomatidae. The record is from Rfam.